RNAcentral lists this ribosomal RNA (405 nucleotides) under uncultured bacterium. Its description in RNAcentral is "partial 16S ribosomal RNA". It matches the Rfam family "Bacterial small subunit ribosomal RNA", at positions 30 to 525 of the family's 1533-position model. The record is from RNAcentral.
AUUGAACGCUGGCGGCAGGCCUAACACAUGCAAGUCGAACGAGUGGCGGACGGGUGAGUAAUGUCUGGGAAACUGCCUGAUGGAGGGGGAUAAAUACUGGAAACGGUAGCUAAUACCGCAUACCAUCAGAUGUGCCCAGAUGGGCUUAGCUUGUUGGUGGGGUAACGGCUCACCAAGGCGACGAUCCCUAGCUGGUCUGAGAGGAUGACCAUCCCCCUUGGAACUGAUACACGGCCCAGCCUCCUACGGUAGGCCGCAGUGGGGAUUAUUGCACAAUGGGCGCAAGCCUGAUGCAGCCAUGCCGCGUGUAUGAAGAAGGCCUUCGUGUUGUAAAGUACUUUCUGCGGGGAGGCGUUACCCGCAGAAGAAGCACCGGCUAAUUCCGUGCCAGCAGCCGCGUUAAUA